RNAcentral lists this RNase P RNA (349 nucleotides) under chicken gut metagenome. RNAcentral describes it as "Bacterial RNase P class B". It matches the Rfam family "Bacterial RNase P class B". From Rfam's summary of the family: Ribonuclease P (RNase P) is a ubiquitous endoribonuclease, found in archaea, bacteria and eukarya as well as chloroplasts and mitochondria. Its best characterised activity is the generation of mature 5'-ends of tRNAs by cleaving the 5'-leader elements of precursor-tRNAs. Cellular RNase Ps are ribonucleoproteins. The record is from RNAcentral.
UUUGGACAAGUGCUGGAAUUUAUUCUAGAGGAAAGUCCAUGCUCACACAAUUCUGUGAUGAUUGUAGUGUUCGUGCUUAGGGAAAAAAUAACCUAAGGUAGUUUUUCAUGAAAAGCUAACGGCUAAAAAUACAUCUAAGGGAGUUUCCUAUGAUGUAUUUUUCUAACGUGCCACAGUGACGAUGUUCUUGGAAACAGGAAAGUGAAACGCGGUAAACCCCACGAGUGAGAAACCCAAAUUAUGGUAGGGGAGCUUUCUUUUGGAGAAACAGAAUCCAAAGAGGGACUAUCGAAAGAUGGUAGAUAAAUACUUGUCACCUACAUUAGUAGGAACAGAACAUGGCUUAUAA